CUGAGGGAAGCAGGCACGGCGGCAGCUAAACUGUGCUUCAGCCCCGGCGGAUAAGCGAGCUCCAAGGGUGGAAAUGCCGUCUGACUUGCUGCCAUCAGCCGCUAGGUGCCCAGAGGGUCAUCCGGCCUCUUCACAACGAGCAAUGUCAUCUGUAUAAGGAUUCAUUCAUAAAAUUGCUGUUCUGAGCGCUGAUGCUGUUAUCUCCACUGUGGAUUAAGAUGUACACGCAAUCUGGUGACAUCAUCAUGUGGAAGAUUGGGUCCUGUCCUGUGAGUAUGGACAUGGGAGUCACAGCAUAAGAACAUGAAGUAUAUGUAAAUACGCACAUGCCUUGGACUGAAAAGUUUGUCAUACAUGCUGACAUCAUGAGUUUGUCAAUGAAGGCUGCAAACUCUGACUGGACCUCCUUUAUAUACUGGAUUUCUGAAGCAUCUUGGAGCAACUACUGAACAUAAGGAAACACAACACUUCCUAACAGCACAAAUUGAUGCUACAGGGCCAUUAACAUUCCCAGAAACGUCUGCGUCACAGGUCUGCAAAAAUCUGUUCAGACUGACAGUCAGGUGGUAUCCGUUACAAUCGGAUAAAUGAAACAAGUAAUGUGAAGCACAGUUUAGAGAAGGGAAGGAAAACAGGUGCUUGGAGGAGAUAAGGAGCGCCAUUUGCUGUACCAUGCACAGCAGGUAUCAUGGAUAUGAGAUCACAGAUGUUGCUCAGCAGUCACAAGUGUCUGAACCCCUGGAAAGAUGUGGGCUAGAGAAAAGAAGUUAUUGCAGCAUAUGUAAACAGGCUGUUAUGGGAUGGCAGGGUUUUGGUUGCCAGAUAUUGGUCUCCUUCAGUUCUUGCUUUCAAAGGACAAAGGCAUUUAGCCAGCAUUAGGCUGGUUUCCUUUAAAAACAAACAUUUAUAUUAUGUUGGGAAGGUAUGGUAAAUCCUGAAGUAUCUGUUUUGUAGUCAAUUAAAUCACAAUAGAGACUCAGCAGAAAUGAGUUGGUCCCAGGUACCUUUGGGACAGAAAAGUCUCUGGGAAUUGAGGCCCACCUUGCCAAAUAAUCCAUAUAUUUUCACGUACAUACACUUAACAGUAAGAUCGCUAAUUUCAUUCUCCUCCAUUCGCCUGAGGACAUAUUUAGUAAUAUACAGCUUUUUACCUCUCCCCUAGGUACAUGGUAGAAUAAAGACAGAAGAAAGAGAAGGAGUAACCCAGUCAAGGCCCAUAGCAAACUGAGCACAGACUGAAGCCUCAGAGCGGAUCUACAUGUAGAUACAGCACUAGCUCUGCCUAAACUUCAGCACACCUGUCUUUGUUUUUCCAGUGGUAUGAUAAUAAUAAUACCACCUACCCACCUGUCUCUUGAUGAGUGCUGUGACAAAUGCUCAAUGACAAAUGCUCAUAGUAUUUUAUGGAAGUAAAGGAAGAUGUAGGAGAUGCUUAUGAGGGGAAAGCAAACUUUAAAUUUAAUUUUGUCCACAGGAAAAAAAAAGCAACCCUCUUCCGUAAAAUUUACAUUACUAAAUCUACAGAACUUAAAAAAUUAAAGCCCCCCUGCACCCAAAAUUGAGUAUUUUAAACUAUUUUUGCAGUCAAUUUUUAUGUGACUGUCAACUUUUUUACAUGCAGAAUCAGGAAUUCUCAGUAGUUAGCAGAGCUGUAAUUGCUCCCAAAAUGAGUCUGGCAAACUUUGCUUUUUAUCUUAGUUACAGAAAGUUCUGCAGUUCCAGGGGUGCUGGUCUCUGCAGGUAGAUGAGAGUGUGGAAAUGGAAUUGAGGGCCUCAAUCUUAAUAAAACAAAAUAAUAAUAAAAUAACAUAAUAAAAUAAUUAAAGAAAACAGUACAAACCUUGGAAGGAAGUGUGUCUUAAAUUUGGUCUGGAACAUUCUGGCUAAAAUGACCAGUAGAAGUACUAAUAAAACACUGGUAGCAGUAAAUGCCACUAUUUUCCAUGUAGUCAGGAGGGUCUCCUGUGUAUUUGGCCAGGUUUGUUCUGCAACAAAAUGACAAUAAUACCACAGUUGUGCUUGAUCAUUACUGUUGCUAUUUUAUAUUAAUUCAACAAUAUUCAGAAGGGCCAGUUGGGAUGAGAGAUUUCUUAUAUGCCUGUUUUAUAUGCACAUACGUAUACAUGAAUCAAAUUUACACCCAUUAAUCUAAUCCCAGAUACCAAAGCAGCCUUAACAGCAAGCUGUCACUGGGGCCAGACCUUGUUUUUCCUCUUGAUGUUAUUUUUAUGUGUGCAACCAUAGAUUUAGCUUAUAUACGUAUUAAAAUAUCAACAUUCAAAAAUACAUUUGAAGAGCUAAGUAUUGAAAUGGUUUAGGAUCACUCAGGAAAUAAAAUAUGCUGCAUUUAAUGGCACCUUAAA
This is a long non-coding RNA of Numida meleagris (helmeted guineafowl), 2363 nucleotides long. RefSeq lists it as uncharacterized. The transcript has 4 exons. The record is from RefSeq and is a predicted model, not a curated record. Lineage: Eukaryota; Metazoa; Chordata; Aves; Galliformes; Numididae.